Long non-coding RNA from Gossypium raimondii (Peruvian cotton), 335 nucleotides. RefSeq lists it as uncharacterized. The record is from RefSeq and is a predicted model, not a curated record. Lineage: Eukaryota; Viridiplantae; Streptophyta; Magnoliopsida; Malvales; Malvaceae. The transcript has 2 exons.
UCCCCGACCCCAGAUAAAUCCCUAACCCCUUCUCUCCCUUUUUUUCCCCAAAUCGGAAAUCCACCUCCACCUCCACGACUCCACGCCACGGUGCUUCUAGCCUUCUUCGUCUUCUCAAAGGUCUUUUCCGUUGUAAACUAGAUGCUGAUGAACGGUGUAAAAUAUUACAUAGCAAUUUUUGGGACCUACUUGAUGAUACAUGCAAUAUUCUUCCAGCAUUCAAAUUGAGUUAUUAUUAUCUUUCAUCCUAUUUAAAGCGUUGCUUUGCUUAUUGUUCAUAUUUUCCUAAACAUUAUGAAUUUUAAAUAGAAAAACUCAUUCGUUUGUGGAUGGCU